GCGACGUUAGCUCAGUUAGGUAGAGCAGCAGACGUGAGUCCGCAGGUCGCCGGUUCGAAUCCGGUACGUCACACCA
RNAcentral lists this transfer RNA (76 nucleotides) under Lysobacter silvisoli. RNAcentral describes it as "Lysobacter sp. zong2l5 tRNA-OTHER". It matches the Rfam family "tRNA". Rfam says of the family: Transfer RNA (tRNA) molecules are approximately 80 nucleotides in length. Their secondary structure includes four short double-helical elements and three loops (D, anti-codon, and T loops). The record is from RNAcentral. Lineage: Bacteria; Pseudomonadati; Pseudomonadota; Gammaproteobacteria; Lysobacterales; Lysobacteraceae.